UGGGUAACCUGCCUCAAAGAGGGAAAUAGCCUCCCCGGAAAGGGAGAUUAAUACCGCAUAAUAUGUUUAGGUCGCAUGACUUUAACAUCAAAGGAUUUUCUUUUAAGAAAUUCCACUUUGAGAUGGACCCCGCGGCGCAUUAGCUAGUUGGUGAGGUAACGGCUCACCAAGGCAACGAUGCGUAGCCGACCUGAGAGGGUGAUCGGCCACAUUGGAACUGAGGCACGGUCCAGACUCCGUAGGAG
This 245-nucleotide ribosomal RNA is filed under the name uncultured bacterium. RNAcentral's name for it is "partial 16S ribosomal RNA". It matches the Rfam family "Bacterial small subunit ribosomal RNA", at positions 118 to 347 of the family's 1533-position model. The record is from RNAcentral.